GACGAACGCUGGCGGCGUGCUUAACACAUGCAAGUCGAACGGAAAGGCCCUGCUUUUGUGGGGUGCUCGAGUGGCGAACGGGUGAGUAACACGUGAGUAACCUGCCCUUGAUUUUGGGAUAACUUCAGGAAACUGGGGCUAAUACCGGAUAGGAGCUCCUGCUGCAUGGUGAGGGUUGGAAAGUUUCGGCGGUUGGGGAUGGACUCGCGGCUUAUCAGCUUGUUGGUGGGGUAGUGGCUUACCAAGGCUUUGACGGGUAGCCGGCCUGAGAGGGUGACCGGCCACAUUGGGACUGAGAUACGGCCCAGACUCCUACGGGAGGCAGCAGUGGGGAAUAUUGCACAAUGGGCGGAAGCCUGAUGCAGCAACGCCGCGUGCGGGAUGACGGCCUUCGGGUUGUAAACCGCUUUCGCCUGUGACGAAGCGUGAGUGACGGUAAUGGGUAAAGAAGCACCGGCUAACUACGUG
This 468-nucleotide ribosomal RNA is filed under the name uncultured bacterium. RNAcentral describes it as "partial 16S ribosomal RNA". It matches the Rfam family "Bacterial small subunit ribosomal RNA", at positions 28 to 507 of the family's 1533-position model. The record is from RNAcentral.